This 948-nucleotide non-coding RNA is filed under the name Hoplichthys gilberti. RNAcentral's name for it is "12S ribosomal RNA". It matches the Rfam family "Bacterial small subunit ribosomal RNA". Lineage: Eukaryota; Metazoa; Chordata; Actinopteri; Perciformes; Hoplichthyidae. The record is from RNAcentral.
CAAAAGCUUGGUCCUGACUUUACUAUCAGCUUUAGCCAAAUUUACACAUGCAAGUCUCCGCCCCCCUGUGAGGAUGCCCUACAUUCCCCGCCCUGGAAUAAGGAGCCGGUAUCAGGCACAAACACUGUUAGCCCACGACACCUUGCUUAGCCACACCCCUAAGGGAACUCAGCAGUGAUAAAUAUUAAACCAUAAGUGAAAACUUGAUUUAGUUAAAGCUUAGAGGGCCGGUAAAACUCGUGCCAGCAACCGCGGUUAUACGAGAGGCCCAAGUUGAUAUGCAUCGGCGUAAAGCGUGGUUAAGACUGUAUAAAACUAGAGCCGAAUAUCUUCAAGACUGUUAUACGUACCCGAAGAUGAGAAGUCCAAUAACGAAAGUAGCCUUAGUAUAACUGAACCCACGAAAGCCACGGUACAAACUGGGAUUAGAGACCCCACUAUGCUUGGCCGUAAACUUUGAUAGUACUACUACACCCACUAUCCGCCCGGGGACUACGAGCAUUAGCUUAAAACCCAAAGGACUUGGCGGUGCUUUAGACCCCCCUAGAGGAGCCUGUUCUAGAACCGAUGACCCCCGUUCAACCUCACCUUUUCUUGUUAAACCCGCCUAUAUACCGCCGUCGUCAGCUUACCCCGUAAGGGACAAACAGUAAGCAAAAUUGGCAUAGCCCAAAACGUCAGGUCGAGGUGUAGCGUAUGGAAAGGGAAGAAAUGGGCUACAUUCCCUGAAGAAGGGUACACGAACGAUGAACUGAAACAAUCAUCUAAAGGAGGAUUUAGCAGUAAGUAGGAAGUAGAGUGUCCUACUGAAACUGGCCCUGAAGCGCGCACACACCGCCCGUCACUCUCCCCAAAAACCGUAGUAAAACACAUAAAUAAAACCCUAUUAAUAUAAAGGGGAGGCAAGUCGUAACAUGGUAAGUGUACUGGAAAGUGCACUUGGAAAAU